Molecule: ribosomal RNA, 254 nt
Filed under: uncultured bacterium
Lineage: Bacteria
Description: partial 16S ribosomal RNA
Rfam family: Bacterial small subunit ribosomal RNA
Source: RNAcentral
UACGUAGGGGGCAAGCGUUGUCCGGAUUUACUGGGCGUAAAGAGCUCGUAGGCGGUUCGGCAAGUCGGGUGUGAAAUUUCGAGGCUCAACCUCGAAACGCCACUCGAUACUGCUGUGACUGGAGUCCGGUAGAGGAGUGCGGAAUUCCUGGUGUAGCGGUGAAAUGCGCAGAUAUCAGGAGGAACACCAACGGCGAAGGCAGCACUCUGGGCCGGUACUGACGCUGAGGAGCGAAAGCGUGGGGAGCAAACAGG